AUUGAACGCUGGCGGCAGGCUUAACACAUGCAAGUCGAGCGGGGGGAGGUAGCUUGCUACCGGACCUAGCGGCGGACGGGUGAGUAAUGCUUAGGAAUCUGCCUAUUAGUGGGGGACAACAUCUCGAAAGGGAUGCUAAUACCGCCUACGUCCUACGGGAGAAAGCAGGGGAUCUUCAGACCUUGCGCUAAUAGAUGAGCCUAAGUCGGAUUAGCUAGUUGGUGGGGUAAAGGCCUACCAAGGCGACGAUCUGUAGCGGGUCUGAGAGGAUGAUCCGCCACACUGGGACUGAGGCACGGCCCAGACUCCUACGGGAGGCAGCAGUGGGGAAUAUUGGACAAUGGGGGAACCCUGAUCCAGCCAUGCCGCGUGUGUGAAGAAGGCCUUAUGGUUGUAAAGCACUUUAAGCGAGGAGGAGGCUACUUUAGUUAAUACCUAGAGAUAGUGGACGUUACUCGCAGAAUAAGCACCGGCUAACUCUGUGCCAGCCGCCGCGGUAA
RNAcentral lists this ribosomal RNA (500 nucleotides) under uncultured bacterium. Its description in RNAcentral is "partial 16S ribosomal RNA". It matches the Rfam family "Bacterial small subunit ribosomal RNA", at positions 30 to 523 of the family's 1533-position model. The record is from RNAcentral.